This 1576-nucleotide ribosomal RNA is filed under the name uncultured marine eukaryote. RNAcentral describes it as "SSU rRNA". It matches the Rfam family "Eukaryotic small subunit ribosomal RNA", at positions 384 to 1807 of the family's 1831-position model. The record is from RNAcentral.
CGGAGAGGGCGCCUGAGAAACGGCGCGCAAAUUGCCCAAUACUAGCAUGAGCGAGGCAGCGACGAGAAGUAUUUACCUUGUGCUACAUUGUAUCGCGAGGAUAGAAAUGGGUGAUAUCCAAAACCAUCACUGAGGAUCGAUUGGAGGGCAAGUCUGGCGCCAGCAGCCGCGGUAAUUCCAGCUCCAAUAGCGUAUACUAAUGCUGUUGCUGUUAAAAAGCUCGUAGUUCGAUAAGGAUUGAUUCUGGUUCAGAUUCAGUGCUUCGCAGCUUUGCUGCAAGUAUUCGAUGAGAUCCGCUUGGAAUUGGUUCUGCAAUGAGUGACUCGUACGGUGGAAGAGCUCUUCAUUGAGCGUGGAAACGCUUUCGCAGCCAACAUCUGCACAAGUACAGUCGUUCGUGAUACCGUGAACAAAACAGCGUGCUCAAAGCAAGUGAUUCUGCUCGAAUGUUCAAGCAUGGAAUAUCAAGGAAUCGACCGUGAGUCUAAUCUUUGCUGGUUUCUGUAUGCGACUUGGAGAAUUGGACCUGAGAAUAUCGUGCCAUAGUCAGUUCCUCCGGGUUCUGCUGUGGUACUAAGCUCUAGUUUACCGGUAUUAACAGGGAUGAACGGAGCAGUGUGUAUUGGCUCGCGAGAGGUGAAAUUCUCAGACCGUGCCAAGACAAACGUAAGCGAAGGCAUUCUGCAAGUAUAUCUUCACUAAUCAAGAACGAGAGUGCAGGGAUCGAAGAUGAUCAGAUACCGCCGUAGUCUGCUACUGUAAACGAUGCGAACUCGGGAUCAGCCGUCGCCAAUCUUUUCGAUCACCGGGCUGGAACCUACGUACUUCUCCCAGCGCGAAAGCUUUUAAGUUUUAUGCGUUCAGGGGGGAGUACAGUUGCAAGGCUGAAACUUAAAGGAAUUGACGGAAUGUCACCACAAGCGUGGAUGCUGCGGCUUAAUUUGACUCAACACGGGGAAUCUCACCAGGUCAGGACGCAUGUUGGAUGACAGAUUGAAAGCUCUUUCUUGAUUAUGUGUAUGGUGGUGCAUGGCCGCUCCUGGUUGGUGGAGUGAUUUGUCUGGUUGAUUCCGUUAACGAACGAGAUAUUGGCCCUUCAAUGACAGUUUGAUCGUAUCUGUAAUCCAGUUGACGCGCUUGCGUGCUCGCACUGGAUGAGAUCUUGUCUUGUACUCAAGGGGACGAUGCAUGUUGACAAUGCAUGGAAGUGCGAACCAAUAGCAGGUCUGUGAUGUUCCUAGAUGUCCUUGGCUGCACGCGGCAUACAAUGGUGAAGAAAACGAGUUUGGUUUGUUUGAGCUCCUUGUGCGAAAUCAUUGGGGAAUCUGUGGAAACUUCAUCGUAUUGGGGAUCGUUGCUUGCAAUUAUUUGCCUUGAACCAGGAAUGCCUUGGAGACACAACUCAGCAAAUUGUAUCGAAUACGUCCCUGCCGUUUGUACACACCGCCCGUCGUUGCAAUCGAUCGGUUCAAUGCUAGAGGUCUUCCAGAGGUGAGUCCGAUCCUGUAUUGUCUUUGCCAAAGUUGAUCAAUAGCAUUGAACUAAAGAAUGCUAAAGUCGUAACAAGGUAGCCGUA